RNAcentral lists this long non-coding RNA (348 nucleotides) under Sinocyclocheilus grahami. Its description in RNAcentral is "lncRNA (ENSSGRG00000031152.1)". Lineage: Eukaryota; Metazoa; Chordata; Actinopteri; Cypriniformes; Cyprinidae. The record is from RNAcentral.
CUCUUGUCUGCAGGGCGAGGAUGGUGAGAUUGGACAGAGAGGAAUGCCAGGAGAAAGUGGUCCAAGAGGACUGCUGGGCCCCAGAGGUUCUGCUGGGACCUCUGGACAGCGUGUAUGUACCACACUUGCUUAAUUACAACUGUACAAAUAGCAUGAAAUUCACAGCUAAACACUUCUAUUUUAUACACAUGCAGGGUCUUCCUGGAUUGGAUGGACCACCUGGCCCUAAAGGAAAUAUGGGUCCUCAAGGAGAGCCUGGACCUUCUGGGCAACAGGGGAACACCGGUCCACAUGUAGGUAUCAGUCGAAUGAUCACUGUCGGUCUGCUCUUUUUCUCACUCUCUCUGU